This 398-nucleotide ribosomal RNA is filed under the name uncultured bacterium. RNAcentral describes it as "bacterial SSU rRNA". It matches the Rfam family "Bacterial small subunit ribosomal RNA", at positions 29 to 417 of the family's 1533-position model. The record is from RNAcentral.
AACGAACGCUGGCGGCGCGCCUAAUACAUGCAAGUCGAGCGAGAAGACGUAGCAAUACGUUUGUAAAGCGGCGAACGGGUGAGGAAUACAUGGGUAACCUACCCUCGAGUGGGGAAUAACUAGCCGAAAGGUUAGCUAAUACCGCGUACGCUCCUCGGACUUCGGUUCAGGGAGGAAAGCGAUACCGUGGGUAUCGCGCUCUUGGAUGGGCUCAUGUCCUAUCAGCUUGUUGGUGAGGUAACGGCUCACCAAGGCUUCGACGGGUAGCUGGUCUGAGAGGACGAUCAGCCACACUGGCACUGCGACACGGGCAGACUCCUACGGGAGGCAGCAGUAAGGAAUAUUGCGCAAUGGGCGAAAGCCUGACGCAGCGACGCCGCGGUGGGGGAUGGAAGGUC